Long non-coding RNA from Cyprinus carpio (common carp), 821 nucleotides. RefSeq lists it as uncharacterized. The transcript has 3 exons. NCBI's taxonomy places the organism in Eukaryota, Metazoa, Chordata, Actinopteri, Cypriniformes, Cyprinidae. The record is from RefSeq and is a predicted model, not a curated record.
UGGAUGUAAAUGUCAAAAGACCAGUAGUUCGGAUAACGUAUGCAUGCUAGUUAUGAAAAGUACAGUUGCUCUCUACUCUACAUUCAUUAUAACUAGCAGGCUCAUACACACACAGUAACCAUUAUGCUGAUAGUUGUGUUGACGUGGUGUUCACCCUUCUGUACAGUUCUCAUCUAGGAAUAUACUAAAAUAUGUUUUUUUUUUUUUUUUUUAAUUGGCCAUGGCCAGAUGCACUCAGGAAAUUUUUGCAGAGGCCGUAAUAUAUAAUGUGAUGUGAUUAUAUAUAACUUUUAUAAUCACAUCACAUUAAUACUACUUAUUGUAAUCAGUAGUAUUAUUUAGCCUUGUAGCAGCCUAAUAGAUUAGUAAUAAUAGUAGUGGUGGUAGAACUUGUAAUUUAUCUACUACAAGUUACAUGGUCAGAGAUAAAAUGUAUUUGUACAAUGCAACUAUGUGGUAGGAUGAUAGAAAUGACCAAUGCAAUUGUGUAACAAACAGCAUGGAUGUGUUUAAAUACAUACAGCUGCAGGAGUAGGGACAUCCAGUAGUGGUACUCCAGGGACCAGUGACACACAGGCCAGGAACACACAGCCUGCAUCAAGUGAAGGUGAAGGGACACCCAGGACCACAUCAAGCACUCAGGGCACCAGUGAAAGACAGACGACUGAGACCAGGGACACGCAGCCUGAAUGAAGUGAAGGGGCCACAUUUAGCAUUCCAGGCCCCAGUGAAACACAGACCACUGAGACCAGGGAUACUCAGCCUGAAGCAAGUAAGACCCUUGAAUACCGUUUAUUCAACCACUAUUUAAAACUUCAGUG